RNAcentral lists this ribosomal RNA (587 nucleotides) under uncultured bacterium. Its description in RNAcentral is "bacterial SSU rRNA". It matches the Rfam family "Bacterial small subunit ribosomal RNA", at positions 337 to 916 of the family's 1533-position model. The record is from RNAcentral.
UCCUACGGGAGGUAGCAGUGGGGAAUAUUGGACAAUGGGGGGAACCCUGAUCCAGCCAUGCCGCGUGUGUGAAGAAGGCCCUCGGGUUGUAAAGCACUUUCAGCGAGGAAGAACGCCUAGCGGUUAAUACCCGCUAGGAAAGACAUCACUCGCAGAAGAAGCACCGGCUAACUCCGUGCCAGCAGCCGCGGUAAUACGGAGGGUGCAAGCGUUAAUCGGAAUUACUGGGCGUAAAGCGCGCGUAGGUGGCUUGAUAAGCCGGUUGUGAAAGCCCCGGGCUCAACCUGGGAACGGCAUCCGGAACUGUCAAGCUAGAGUGCAGGAGAGGAAGGUAGAAUUCCCGGUGUAGCGGUGAAAUGCGUAGAGAUCGGGAGGAAUACCAGUGGCGAAGGCGGCCUUCUGGACUGACACUGACACUGAGGUGCGAAAGCGUGGGUAGCAAACAGGAUUAGAUACCCUGGUAGUCCACGCCGUAAACGAUGUCGACCAGCCGUUGGGUGCCUAGCGCACUUUGUGGCGAAGUUAACGCGAUAAGUCGACCGCCUGGGGAGUACGGCCGCAAGGUUAAAACUCAAAUGAAUUGACGG